CAGGUGAACAGAAUAUACAGUCAGGUGUCUCUGUGUGAACCUAUCACCAUGCACGUGCGCUUUGUUCUCACAUUGAUGUGUCUACUUCUUCUUUGUGUCUCAACAAGUCAAUCCCCUGCACCCUGCAGUCCACCCUGUAUGUCCACUCAGAAAUGUUUGACUUUUAACCCAGACUGUGAAGGGCCGCCACCGGACUGUGUUCAGUGUCAGUCUGACUGUCAGGCAGUUCAUAUAUGUAUUGACAUCACGUCAGACAAACCAGAUGCCUAAUAAAUCUAUUUUUAGUAUAACAAA
This is a long non-coding RNA of Biomphalaria glabrata, 294 nucleotides long. RefSeq lists it as uncharacterized. The record is from RefSeq and is a predicted model, not a curated record. NCBI's taxonomy places the organism in Eukaryota, Metazoa, Mollusca, Gastropoda, Planorbidae. The transcript has 4 exons.